GGGACAUGAUUAUCAUAAACGUGGACUGCACUCUGUCGAUGGGAGCAAUUAUGCAGGCCUAUGCAUCUCGAUGGUCUCGGGAUACGCCAGUCCAAGUACAUGAAUGAUGCACUAGUAGCUAUGCAAGCAUGGCACAUACUUUCCAAUCCACAGGGGUUCAUGCAGCGAACCCUUCUUGCGAAACACUGCACGAAGCAAAAUUAUAUGAAGGUAACGAACAAAACCACUAAUUCCUGGACAUGCAAGUGUGUACUGCGAGGAAGGAUAUAUGUAGUCAAAGAAUAGAUAUUCAAAUCUGGGAUGGAAAUAGAGUGUCAAGAUUCAAGCAUGGUUUGGUAUUGCAACAGUAUGCGGAGCAAGUAUUGCCAAGUUUGCCGAUUACUUGCAUAAGACAGCAGGGUCAGUUAUCAUGGCAUAAUACUACCAUCCAAGAACAAUUACAUGAUUCUUGGGCAACUGAAAUGCCUUCCAAGUCAUUCUCAGUCCUGAAAUCCGGGGAUCGUUUUGUCUAGAAAUAUAGUUAUAAUGGGAAAUUAAUUCAGUGUUAAGGAAGCGCAACUUCCUUCACCAACCUCAGACAAGCCAGGUAUCUCUGAUUAAUUGGCGUGUUUUCUGGAAAAUCAAGCUUCCAUACUCUUUUUUCUUUGGAAAAUCAUCAAUCAAAACCUCCCAGUUUAGUAGACCAGUGAACGCUAUCUACCUAACGUUCAUAGUAUAUGCCCAAUGUGUCAUGCUGAUCCAGAGACCAUAGAUCAUUUAUUUCGCACAUGCACGUUUGUUCGCGCUAUCUGGUUUGGUUCGAACCUUGGUCUCCGAAUUCAUAAUACUACUAUUCCUCCUAUCCGGGGGUGGGUUAUGGCAACAGGAUGAACCAGCGGAUAUCAUGAAGACAAAGGUAGUUACGGUUUGGCAAAUUUGGAGACACAGAAAUCAGGUCACCUCCUAGAUCGCCUCCUAGUCACCCAGCGAGAUUGCCCAGCACCCAGCUCACCAUUGCCCUCCAGCAUCCCUGCCAUGCUUCGCAUAAAGCCUCUGCUAC
Molecule: long non-coding RNA, 1039 nt
Filed under: Gossypium raimondii (Peruvian cotton)
Lineage: Eukaryota; Viridiplantae; Streptophyta; Magnoliopsida; Malvales; Malvaceae
Description: long non-coding RNA (GRAI_LNC002397)
Source: RNAcentral